Molecule: ribosomal RNA, 133 nt
Filed under: uncultured bacterium
Lineage: Bacteria
Description: partial 16S ribosomal RNA
Rfam family: Bacterial small subunit ribosomal RNA
Source: RNAcentral
AGGGAAUAUUGGUCAAUGGGCGGAAGCCUGAACCAGCCAUGCCGCGUGCAGGAUGACGGCCUUCUGGGUUGUAAACUGCUUUUAUCAGGGAAGAAAACGGUCAUGCGUGACAGAUUGACGGUACCUGAAGAAU